UGCCGGCGACCGGCGCACGGGUGAGUAACACGUAUGCGACCUGCCCCCCGCAGGGGGAUAACCGGGAGAAAUCCCGACUAAUACCGCGUAACGCCGCGGACCUGCAUGGGUCUGCGGCCAAAGGAAGCGAUUCCGGCGGGGGAUGGGCAUGCGGCGCAUUAGCUAGUCGGCGGGGUAACGGCCCACCGAGGCGACGAUGCGUAGGGGUUCUGAGAGGAAGGCCCCCCACACUGGAACUGAGACACGGUCCAGACUCCUACGGAAGGCAGCAG
Molecule: ribosomal RNA, 272 nt
Filed under: uncultured bacterium
Lineage: Bacteria
Description: partial 16S ribosomal RNA
Rfam family: Bacterial small subunit ribosomal RNA
Source: RNAcentral